AAUGUCAUCUUGUCUAUGGUCACACCAGUCUCCUCUGAUCUUGGAAGCUAAGCAGGGUCAGGCCUGGUUAGUACUUGGAUGAGAGAAAAAGUAAUCAAAGGGAAUAAAACAGUA
This 114-nucleotide ribosomal RNA is filed under the name Carlito syrichta (Philippine tarsier). Lineage: Eukaryota; Metazoa; Chordata; Mammalia; Primates; Tarsiidae. The record is from RNAcentral.